GCUGCCACACAGCGCCCGCCAUCCGCCACUCCCCCGCGGCCGUGCCGUUCCCGCCUCGGCGCUCCGCCGGUCACUGCUCGCCGUGGGUAUCCCUUUGAGCGCGGCGGGAGAAAGAGCCCGAUUUCCCGGGACUGCCGGGCCGUCGGUGAGGAUCCCUCCUUCUCCCUCAGCAGACGUUCCGUCUCCGGAGAGGCAGCGAAGAAAGGCCGAAGAUGGACCGCGAUGGGCCGGACGCCGCCCGCCAGGACGCAGAGCUGGAGCGUGGCCGCUACUUGAGCCGCCGGGCCGUGGCCCAGGAGCAGCUGGCGCAAAUAAAAGAGCACAAGGAUCAGGCAGAUCUGGCCAAACAAGAAAACAAAAGAGAAGGGGAACGAAUACAGAGAUCGAGCCAAUUGCACCAACUAGAAAUUCAGAGAGAAAAAGAAAAGGAACAGGAGAAAAAAGCUGAAUGCCAGAAGCUGCAUCAUGAAUAUGUAGCUGAACAGAAAAUAAUUAAAGCUGAAGAGAAGCAAAAAGAAGACAAAGACAAUGAUCGGAUUAAAGCUUAUAUUAAAGAAAAAGAAAUGAUGGCUGAUCUGACAAGAGAAAAAUAUGCAGAGAYUAACAGGAUGAUACAGAAGCAUAAGGACAAAGCUUUUGAACAAUUAACUGCACAGAUGAAUGAAGCAUUUAAGAUUGAAGAUGAUCGUCUUGCUAGAGGAGCUGCAGAGGUAGAAGUCGAAUACCAAAUGAAAAMCAAAGAGAAAGAAAUUAAAAAAAAGGCUGCCAUUGAAUCUAUUGAAGAACACAGAGCCACUGUGAUAAAGAUGAAAGAGGAAAAGGAGAGACAGGAAAAAGCAGAGGAUGAGAAGGAUCGUAAUCAGAAGAUGACAGAAGAGGGCAUCUACCUGGAAAUGGAAAAAGCCAAGAAACAAAGACAGCGUGAUGCAAACAUGGAAGUACAGAAAAUUCAAAUCCAGCAAAUGGCUGAAAAACAGGCAAGAAAACAGCAGGAAAAGCAAGCAGAAUUGGACUAUCAUGCUCAGAGAGAGACUGCUUUUCUUCGGGAUCGACCAUUUUGAAGAUAAAGACAUGCUCAUUUUAUUACAUCAAGCUUUUUUCCAGCAAGCAGAAAGAAUGGAAAGUUAUUAAAGCCUUUUGAUGGCAGAAGCUGGAACCUCAAGAAGAAGUACUGAUUACUGCAGGAGUGGUGCUGAAAUCUGCAAGCUUGAUAAUGCUCCAAAUGCAUCCUUAAGUGCAUAUUUGCACAUGCUCACUACUAUGCAAUUGAAAUACAUUUGACCACUGUAGCAGUAUCUACAAAGGAAUAAGAAGCUAGCCACUGUCUCCUUCCAAGUUCUAUGUGCCUGCAAAACCAAUCAGUGCCCAACAGCAGAAGCUAACUGUAGACCAAAUUACAAGACAUGCAAUUUUCCAGAACCUGCCUAUACUCAAGCUCAAGAAACAAGUGCCACAGCUUGCAACUGUACUGUAACUAGUCUAAUUUUAUUGUGGAACAAAGCAGUAGAUUCUUUUUAGAAAGUCAGGAGGUAACAACCAAAGGUAAACUAUCUGUACUGUACUCUUCAAAUAUUCUGAGCCUCCAGGCUUAAUUCAAACCUUUUGUUUUGACUUUAAACAAAGCAUCUUACUGAGCAAAUAAAAUUGAGUACAUCCAUCUGUAUCAAUAAAAUCCAUGCUGACUGUACCUUUUAUUUGUGACAGUUUUCUACUUACUUUCACUUUGGCGAAUGGAAUGAAAGGUAGAAAUACCGUCCUGAGAAGUUGUGGCACUGCCUGAGUCUGUAAUCCUUUAUGGGAAAGAGAUGUCUACAGCAAGACUACACAGCCAGGCUGUGAUACUGUUGUGGGUGACUUUUUGAUUGAAAGUUGUUCUUUCACUCAGUUCUAAACUGACUGUAAGUAGUCUUACCACUCCAUCAACAUCCAGAUUGAAUAGACAGUUCCUCUCUAACUAGUGAAAACUAUUCUGCUUCACACAUAGACACACACACAGACUCKUAUUUUUUCAAGUCAAAGAGCAUAGUUGGCAACAAGCAGAGUUUGCAAUUAUGGUAAGACAGUAGGUCAGCUUCAUUACGUGGCUGCAUUUUUAUGUUAUAAUAUA
Molecule: RNA transcript, 2107 nt
Organism: Malurus melanocephalus (red-backed fairy wren)
Lineage: Eukaryota; Metazoa; Chordata; Aves; Passeriformes; Maluridae
Gene name: cilia- and flagella- associated protein 210-like
Exons: 8
Source: RefSeq, a predicted model, not a curated record